This 486-nucleotide ribosomal RNA is filed under the name uncultured bacterium. RNAcentral's name for it is "partial 16S ribosomal RNA". It matches the Rfam family "Bacterial small subunit ribosomal RNA", at positions 30 to 507 of the family's 1533-position model. The record is from RNAcentral.
AUUGAACGCUGGCGGCAUGCCUUACACAUGCAAGUCGAACGGCAGAACGGGUGCUUGCACCUGGUGGCGAGUGGCGAACGGGUGAGUAAUACAUCGGAACAUGUCCUGUAGUGGGGGAUAGCCCGGCGAAAGCCGGAUUAAUACCGCAUACGAUCUACGGAUGAAAGCGGGGGACCUUCGGGCCUCGCGCUAUAGGGUUGGCCGAUGGCUGAUUAGCUAGUUGGUGGGGUAAAGGCCUACCAAGGCGACGAUCAGUAGCUGGUCUGAGAGGACGACCAGCCACACUGGGACUGAGACACGGCCCAGACUCCUACGGGAGGCAGCAGUGGGGAAUUUUGGACAAUGGGCGAAAGCCUGAUCCAGCAAUGCCGCGUGUGUGAAGAAGGCCUUCGGGUUGUAAAGCACUUUUGUCCGGAAAGAAAUCCUUGGCUCUAAUACAGUCGGGGGAUGACGGUACCGGAAGAAUAAGCACCGGCUAACUACGUG